This 145-nucleotide ribosomal RNA is filed under the name Orbilia tonghaiensis. RNAcentral's name for it is "5.8S ribosomal RNA". It matches the Rfam family "5.8S ribosomal RNA". Rfam says of the family: 5.8S ribosomal RNA (5.8S rRNA) is a component of the large subunit of the eukaryotic ribosome. It is transcribed by RNA polymerase I as part of the 45S precursor that also contains 18S and 28S rRNA. Lineage: Eukaryota; Fungi; Ascomycota; Orbiliomycetes; Orbiliales; Orbiliaceae. The record is from RNAcentral.
CCUUUCAACAACGGAUCUCUUGGUUCCCGCAUCGAUGAAGAACGCAGCGAAACGCGAUAGUUAAUGUGAAUUGCAGAAUUCAGUGAAUCAUCGAGUCUUUGAACGCAUAUUGCGCCCAUUGGUAUUCCAUUGGGCAUGUCUGUUU